RNAcentral lists this long non-coding RNA (1192 nucleotides) under Calidris pugnax (ruff). Its description in RNAcentral is "lncRNA (ENSCPUG00000015606.1)". Lineage: Eukaryota; Metazoa; Chordata; Aves; Charadriiformes; Scolopacidae. The record is from RNAcentral.
AAAUUCCGUACAAGAAGGUACUUCACAGCAUUUAUUUUAGCAUUUCUCUUACAACGGCUGGAAGUGUUCAUUAUUUCCUUUGUUCCCAUUUCUAGUGAUUUCAUUCUGGCACAUUUCCUAGGGCUGUGCCCCCAUUAGCAAGAGCGUUUUGUCCAGAUGUGAACUAGGAAUUUUGAAUUUCUGUGUCUAGAAAGAUUCACCUGUUGAGUUCUCAGGGCUGCAGGAACAGAAGGGGCUUCAGUAAGUCACCAUGAGCUCACCAGACCAAAGCACCCUGGCACGUGUAAAUCCCAAAUUCCCUUAUUAAACCUUUCCAUGCCAGGCUUAGUCGCGGGGGUGGGGGUGGGGGGGGAAAUAUUAAAGUUUUUAACCCUCUUACCCAUUUUUGUCUAUGACUUAUUUUUUAAAACAUCUAUUCAAUGUAAAUUUUUUAAGGAACUUGUUUUUAAGCCUGUUAAUCUUCAUUGGCAAGAUUUUCACCCUGGUCUUAUGUGUCUUCUUCACUCUACAGUGGAAAAGCGGGACGCGGUGUGAUCUACAGGAUGUCAAGUACGACUGGGAAAAUCCUGUGCUACCCCCCUCAUCCUCUGAAAAUGGCUUGUUUCCACCUGGACGUUCCCCGUUCCCUGUAGAUGUUAGUGAGGUGAGAUGUUUGGGUGGUUCUGCUUCCUGGAGGGGCAGGAGAGGGGCUUUGCUGGACUAGAGAAGGUGCAGGUACUGCGGGUCUCCUGGUCUCCCUCCCCCUGUGCCCACCCUGCGUGAUGUACACGGUCUGGAACGGGCUCUGAAGGAUUUAACUUUGCAUGUCUGCUUGUGUCAGCGGGCCUGUCUGGGUGACAAGAACCUUGACACAGGAACAGCAUAAAACAGCCUUUCACAGCAGCAAAGACAUCACCCUUUGUCUGUCCCAAAGUUAAACCCGUCACAGGAAAAUGUCCAAAUUGUCUGCAUCUGGCUUCUUUUAAUAACAAAAGCUACAUUAUAGGAGUGUCUGUCUCAUGUACAGCAGUUUAUGCAACAGUGUUUAUAAAGGAAGGGCCUGUGCACUUCAGGGAUACUAUGAAGAAAAAUACUAAUAUAUGGUCAUUGAGUAUUUUGUAUUGACUGGUGUCUUUGUAUUGUAAACAAGUGUAGUGAACCACAAGGCAUGAAGACAAAUAAAAUGACUGUAGCUGGCUUUCUGCGUUGAGCU